CUAGAUUUAAUUUUUUUUAAUUACAGAAUUCAAUAUCAAGUCCUUGACACAUAACUGUAACACAUUUUCACAUUAAGAAACAAUUUAGUUUAAAUAAAAAGAACAAGAAAUAUCUAAAAAUAAAUAAAUUAUUUAUUAGCGAUAGGCCUACAGAUUUAUUUUUUUUUAUUUAUUUUUUUUUUUUUUUACUUUAGACUCUAAAGUUAAAAGUUUUUAUUAAGGCUAUUGUAAAGGCUUCUUAAAAAUGAUGUCGCUGAUGAGCCUCUGAUCGCUGUCAGAUUCUGUGAUAUGAAUGUCCGCUAAUGGGUUUAGAAUGAGCCCCGCUCGGCCCGUGUUCUGGCUUACUGUAAUAUUUCACCUGUAAUAAGACCGAAAUAAUAUAAUUAAAAUAAAGAAAUGAAUGAAUACAUGAUAACAUCUAAAUAAAUGUUGAUAGAUUUAGCGUUAUAGUUUUAAAAAUAUUAAUAAACAGCAAAUCAACACAGAAAGACCUAAAUAAUAAUAAUACAUAAUUAAUAAACAGCGCCGCCCCUCCCACUACGCGCAUCACGCGCUGUGCGUCAACCCCAAAGCGUCAAAAACUGAAGCGUGGUCAAGCGCCUCUAGCGUCACUGACAUGAGAUGUUUAUCGCUUUGAAAUCACGUUCAAGAAGUCUCAUUCAGCACACAUCGCGAUACUUUCCAUCAGUUUGCAAGAGCCGCAGGUUGGGUGAGUUAUACAGUCUAUGGUGAGUAGUAGUAAAUAUGCUAUUUUAAUGCCUGUCCUAAAACGUAUUCUGUCUUCUUUAUUAAUCAGAUGAGCGCCUUAUGUUUACUCUCUGUAUUACAUCGGUCAUCCGAGGCUGUCUUUGAGUUUCAUUGUGUUUAACUAAAUGAACACAGCUGCUAACUGGUUAAACUCUAUCGGUCACGUGACGUGACGUGACGUGCCACAGACCUGGGAUCCGUUUUAUAUUCAUUUCAGGUUCAAAGAUCUGAAAAGACGUAAAGUAAGCAGUCACCCCAGUGGUGUUUGUGGAGAGGUAUUCCUUCAGAAAUGGAGAAGACAGAAAGCUGCAGAGGCAGGAUUGUUUCCAGAUAACACUGUAGUUCUCCGUCAUGCACAAGGAUUCACCUCUUUAACCCCCCCCCCCCC
Long non-coding RNA from Carassius gibelio (silver crucian carp), 1135 nucleotides. RefSeq lists it as uncharacterized. The transcript has 3 exons. Lineage: Eukaryota; Metazoa; Chordata; Actinopteri; Cypriniformes; Cyprinidae. The record is from RefSeq and is a predicted model, not a curated record.